Molecule: long non-coding RNA, 772 nt
Filed under: Hordeum vulgare
Lineage: Eukaryota; Viridiplantae; Streptophyta; Magnoliopsida; Poales; Poaceae
Description: long non-coding RNA (HVUL_LNC012001)
Source: RNAcentral
AGCUCAAUGAAGACAGUUGUUGAUGACCCAGUUCCAACUGCUGUGAUAGUUGUACGUCUGGUUUGAAGCGGCUUGGUGUUGAAACCAAAGGACACACAGUCGCAGGACAUACAGUCCCUACCGUAUUCUCCUUGAGGUAAGGACACAUAGUCCUCGCCCAACACUCGUGGUAAGUAUUUAGGACAGACUUCCAAACCAUCACAAACUCGAUCACCCGGCGAUCCAAAAUUGACUGCUGGAUGCCCUAUACCAUGAAGCCUAGCCAUCUGGAGGAUGCACAGUCCUCAAAGGUAACAACCGUCAGUUCCACAUAGGAAUAACUUCUUCAGUGAUGCUUAAUCACUUGGUUUUUGGUUUGGGUUUGGGUGUUUGGGGUAUUUCCUCACAUGAUGAUUUUCGCUCGAAUACUCUGAGGAAUUUGGGUUUCUCAAAAUGACUAGUGCCAGUUUCUCUCGGAGCAUCCUCCCACCUAGUGGUUUGGGGCGGCUAUUUAUAGCCUGGGAGCAUCCCAACAUGAUUUUACAUAAAUGCCCUUUAAUAAUAUGACCGUUGGUUGGAUAAGAUCUGGGACAGGUGGCGCGUAGCACGGCAACGGUCGGAACUUUCGAAUGUGAAAGUCCUCAGGUCUCUCAUGUUCCUCACUUUGAGGAUCUGGUAGAUGUAGGUUUGGGUUGAGCAUCAUGAGGAAAUUCUUUCCAUAGUUUUACCUCGACCCCCUUUAAGAGUACGAUGCUCCUAUGACUCAAGCAUAAAUAAAAUGAAACAGAAAGAG